This 117-nucleotide transfer RNA is filed under the name Aedes aegypti (yellow fever mosquito). It matches the Rfam family "tRNA". Rfam says of the family: Transfer RNA (tRNA) molecules are approximately 80 nucleotides in length. Their secondary structure includes four short double-helical elements and three loops (D, anti-codon, and T loops). Further hydrogen bonds mediate the characteristic L-shaped molecular structure. tRNAs have two regions of fundamental functional importance: the anti-codon, which is responsible for specific mRNA codon recognition, and the 3' end, to which the tRNAs corresponding amino acid is attached (by aminoacyl-tRNA synthetases). tRNAs cope with the degeneracy of the genetic code in two manners: having more than one tRNA (with a specific anti-codon) for a particular amino acid; and 'wobble' base-pairing, i.e. permitting non-standard base-pairing at the 3rd anti-codon position. Lineage: Eukaryota; Metazoa; Arthropoda; Insecta; Diptera; Culicidae. The record is from Rfam by way of RNAcentral.
CCUUCGAUAGCUCAGUUGGUAGAGCGGUGGACUGUAGAAGUCGAAAUUGGGCGGAGGAAUCCGCAUUGAAUCGAAGCAGUUAUCCAUAGGUCACUGGUUCAAAUCCGGUUCGAAGGA